Molecule: long non-coding RNA, 353 nt
Filed under: Actinidia chinensis (golden kiwifruit)
Lineage: Eukaryota; Viridiplantae; Streptophyta; Magnoliopsida; Ericales; Actinidiaceae
Description: long non-coding RNA (ACHI_LNC000189)
Source: RNAcentral
AGGGAUUGCUUUUGGCAUCUUAUGGUCUCAUAUUAUUUAAUAAAAAGGAGAGGUAGAGGUUAUAAUAUGUUUGUCAUCUGGAGACAAAAUAGAGGGUUCUAAUGAUAUCAAGAAAAAGAUUCCUCCCUCUUUUGCUUUUUUCCUUCUGUUUCCUUUAUUCAUUAUUUGGCAAACAGGGGUCUGGGGGGAAGACAGGUGGAUAGAGUUAUUGUGUUAUGGGUUUCUGUAUCUUCUUCAACUGUUACAUUUGGAAGAAGAUAUAUCUGUAAUUUGUUCCAAGCAUAGUUGUCAAAGGCGCAAAAAGGCGCGUGCCUUGGCGCAAGGCGCGGCGCGGUGCAACUUUGGCGCCUCGC